RNAcentral lists this ribosomal RNA (857 nucleotides) under Lyomyces microfasciculatus. RNAcentral describes it as "partial large subunit ribosomal RNA". It matches the Rfam family "Eukaryotic large subunit ribosomal RNA", at positions 66 to 915 of the family's 3401-position model. The record is from RNAcentral. Lineage: Eukaryota; Fungi; Basidiomycota; Agaricomycetes; Hymenochaetales; Schizoporaceae.
UAACAAGGAUUCCCCUAGUAACUGCGAGUGAAGCGGGAAGAGCUCAAAUUUAAAAUCUGGCAGCUUCGCUGUCCGAGUUGUAAUCUGGAGAAGCAUUUUCCGCGUUGGACCGUGUACAAGUCUCUUGGAACAGAGCGUCAUAGAGGGUGAGAAUCCCGUCCAUGGCACGGACUACCAAUGCUUUGUGAUAUGCUCUCGAAGAGUCGAGUUGUUUGGGAAUGCAGCUCAAAAUGGGUGGUAAGUUCCAUCUAAAGCUAAAUAUUGGCGAGAGACCGAUAGCGAACAAGUACCGUGAGGGAAAGAUGAAAAGCACUUUGGAAAGAGAGUUAAACAGUACGUGAAAUUGUUGAAAGGGAAACGCUUGAAGUCAGUCGCGUUGUCUGAGACUCAGCCUUGCUUGCUUGGUGUACUUCUCAGUUAACGGGUCAACAUCAAUUUUGGUUGGUGGACAAAGGUUGAAGGAAUGUGGCAUCUUCGGAUGUGUUAUAGCCUUCUUCCGUAUACACUGGCUGGGAUUGAGGUCUGCAGCACGCCUUUAUGGCCGGGGUUCGCCCACGUUACGUGCUUAGGAUGUUGGCAUAAUGGCUUUAAGCGACCCGUCUUGAAACACGGACCAAGGAGUCUAACAUGCUUGCGAGUAUUAGAGUGGAAAACUCUUAUGCGUAAUGAAAGUGAAAGUUGGGACUCUUCAUUGAGGCACCGACGCCCUGCCCUGAAGUCUUCUGACGGUGCAGCGGUAGAGCACGUAUGUUGGGACCCGAAAGAUGGUGAACUAUGCCUGAAUAGGGUGAAGCCAGGGGAAACUCUGGUGGAGGCUCGUAGCGAUUCUGACGUGCAAAUCGAUCGUCAAAUUUGGG